Molecule: ribosomal RNA, 504 nt
Filed under: uncultured bacterium
Lineage: Bacteria
Description: bacterial SSU rRNA
Rfam family: Bacterial small subunit ribosomal RNA
Source: RNAcentral
AGAGUUUGAUUAUGGCUCAGGAUGAACGCUAGCUACAGGCUUAACACAUGCAAGUCGAGCGGAACUGCUUCGGCAGUUAGCGGCAGACGGGUGAGUAACACGUAUCCAACCUUCCCCUUACUCGGGUAUAGCCUCGGGAAACUGAGAGUAAUCCCCGAUGUGGUGUACGCUUCGCAUGUAAUGCACACCAAAGAUUAAUCGGUAAGGGAUGGGGAUGCGUUCCAUUAGCUAGUAGGCGGGGUAACGGCCCACCUAGGCGAUGAUGGAUAGGGGUUCUGAGAGGAAGGUCCCCCACAUUGGAACUGCGACACGGUCCAAACUCCUACGGGAGGCAGCAGUGAGGAAUAUUGGUCAAUGGCCGAGAGGCUGAACCAGCCAAGUAGCGUGCAGGAUGACGGCCCUACGGGUUGUAAACUGCUUUUGUGCGGGAAUAACGGUCGACACGUGUGUUGAUGUGCAUGUACCGUACGAAUAAGGAUCGGCUAACUCCGUGCCAGCCGCGGC